GACAGAGGAUGCAAGUGUUAUCCGGAAUUAUUGGGCGUAAAGGGUUUGUAGGUGGUAAAUUAAGUCUUUGGUUAAAUAUUUAGGCUUAACCUAAAACCAGCUAAAGAUACUAAUAUACUAGAGGGUAGGAGAGGUAAAGGUAAUUUUCAGUGGAGCAGUGAAAUGCGUAGAUAUUGAAAGGAGCACCAAAGGCGAAGGCACUUUACUGGAAUAUUCCUGACACUGAGAAACGAAAGCUAGGGGAGCAAACGGG
Molecule: ribosomal RNA, 253 nt
Filed under: uncultured bacterium
Lineage: Bacteria
Description: partial 16S ribosomal RNA
Rfam family: Bacterial small subunit ribosomal RNA
Source: RNAcentral